RNAcentral lists this ribosomal RNA (423 nucleotides) under uncultured archaeon. RNAcentral describes it as "partial 16S ribosomal RNA". It matches the Rfam family "Archaeal small subunit ribosomal RNA", at positions 323 to 746 of the family's 1478-position model. The record is from RNAcentral.
CUACGGGUGGCACCAGCUAGGAAACCUUUACACUGCGCGCAAGCGCGAUAAGGGGAUUCGGAGUGCUUACGUUUUUGCGUAAGCUUUUGCCAAGAGUAAAUACCUUGGCGAAUAAGUGGUGGGAAAGACCGGUGCCAGCCGCCGCGGUAAUACCGGCGCCACAAGUGGUGUUCGUGUUUAUUGGGCCUAAAGCGUUCGUAACAGGUUUGACUAGUUCUUUGUGAAAUCGUGCAACUCAAUUGUACGGCAUGCAAAGAAUACUACCAAGCUUGAGACUGGGAGACGUAUAGAGUAUUUCGGGGCCAGCGGUAAAAUGUGUUGAUCCCCGAAGGACUGCCGAUGGCGAAGGCACUAUACGAGAACAGGUCUGACUGUGAGGAACGAAAGCCAGGGGAGCAAAAUGGAUUAGAUACCCGCGUAGUC